Molecule: ribosomal RNA, 275 nt
Filed under: uncultured eukaryote
Lineage: Eukaryota
Description: partial 18S ribosomal RNA
Rfam family: Eukaryotic small subunit ribosomal RNA
Source: RNAcentral
UAGUCAUAUGCUUGUCCCAAAGAUUAAGCCAUGCAUGUCUAAGUAUAAACACUUGUACUGUGAAACUGCGAAUGGCUCAUUAAAUCAGUUAUAAUUUACUUGACAAUCACUUUACUAUGGAUAACUGUGGUAAUUCUAGAGCUAAUACAUGGAAAGGGCCCGACUUCGGGAGGGCCGUAUUUAUUAGAUACAAAGCUGAUGGUCUUCGGACGUAGGUGAUUCAUGAUAACUAUGCAGAUCGCAAGGCGCAAGCCGGCGACUCGUCAAUCAAAUUU